UAGCUAUUUAAACCAAACCAAUAUAAUUGGUUCGAUCACCUGAUUUAUAGAAUUAGCUCUCUCCCUUUUGGAAGCUCUAUCAGAUAAACAAGUUUUUGAUUAGUGAUUCCGAAGUUUUUUUAAUAUAAUUUAUAGACAAGUUGCAUUGUAGUACUCAUUUCAAUCAAAAUCCUCAGUUUCGGUUUAGCUAUUUAAACCAAACCAAUUUAAUUGGUUCGAUCACCUGAUUAAUAGAAUUAGCUCUCCCGUUUGGAAGCUCUAUCAGAUAAACAAGUUUUUGAUUAGUGAUUCUGAUUUUUUUUAAUAAUUAUAGACAAGUUGCAUUGUACUCAAUUCCAAUCAAAAUCCUCAAUUUCGGUUUAGCUAUUUAAAUCAAACCAAUUUAAUUGGUUCGAUCACCUGAUUUAUAGAAUUAGCUCUCCCUUUUGGAAGCUCUAUCAGAUAAACAAGUUUUCGAUUAGUGAUUCUGGAUUUUUUUUUUGUUUUGACAAGUUGCAUUGUACUCAAUUCCAAUCAAAAUCCUUAAUUUCGGUUUAGCUAUUUAAACCAAACCAAUUUAAUUGGUUCGAUCACCUGAUUUAUAUAAUUUGCUCUCCCUUUUGGAAGCUCUAUCAGAUAAACAAGUUUUCGAUUAGUGAUUCUGAAUUUUUUUUUAAUAAUUAUAGACAAAAGUUGCAUCAAUUCCAAUCAAAAUCCUCAAUUUCGGUUUAGUUAAACCAAACCAAUUUAGUUGGUUCAAUUACCUGAUUUGUAGAAUUAGCUCUCUCUUCUUUUUGGAAGCUCUAUCAGAUAAACAAGUUUUCGAUUAGUGAUUCUGGAUUUUUUUUGACAAGUUGCAUGGUACUCAAUAGGGGUGGCAUUCAGUUAUUUUCUCGGUUUGGUUCGGGUUCGGUUCGGUUCGGUUCGGUUUGGUUAGUUCGGUUCUAGUAUUAUUCCAACUGAAAUAAACCAUAGUUAGUUUGGUUUGAUUCGGUUUAGUUUGUGUUCAGUUCGGUUUAUAUUCGGUUCGGUUUGUUUUUGGAUCGGUUUAAUUAGGUUCUUCUUAGUUUUAUUUUUUGUAAAAAAAAUUAUGUUUUAUAACAUAAAUUAUGUGAACUAAAUUAAAUAUAAAACUGAAACAAAAACCUUUAAAAAGGUCAAAAAGUAUAUAAAAAUUAAAACAAAUGAAAGUUAAUUAAAAAAAACCCAACAUUAUUAGUAAUGUUUCUUAUAUCAUUAUUAAAAAGUCUGCAAUGAAUCAUCUUCCAUGUGACGUUAUGGAGAAGAACUUUUGUUUUUAAUAAAAUUUGCUUUAGGUUUUAGGUUUAGAUUUAACAUUUACGUUUACGUAUAUAAGAAUAUAAAAAUACAGAGUUUUCUAUUUUUUUAAUCAAAUAUUUUGAUGAUUGCAUGUUAGGUUAAAAGAAUAUAUGUUAAUGAAUGAAAAAUGGAAAAAAUGUGGUUUGGUAUUAGAAUUUUAGUAUAUUGGUAUUACUAAUAUUUUUAAUUUAGAUAAUUACAAAAACACAUCGGUUUCUCAGUUCGGUUCGGACCGAACCAUGAAUGGUUUGAAAUAGAUUUUGAUUCGGUUUGAAUCGG
RNAcentral lists this long non-coding RNA (1578 nucleotides) under Brassica napus (rape). Its description in RNAcentral is "long non-coding RNA (BNAP_LNC009174)". The record is from RNAcentral. Lineage: Eukaryota; Viridiplantae; Streptophyta; Magnoliopsida; Brassicales; Brassicaceae.